CUCAGACGAUGCGUCAUGCAUAUCAAUAAGCGGAGGAAAAGAAACUAACAAGGAUUCCCCUAGUAACGGCGAGUGAAGCGGGAAGAGCUCAAAUUUGAAAUCUUAAAGGGUUUCCCUUUACGAAUUGUAGUUUAAAGAAGUGUUUUCUGUUGAGGUUUUGGUAAAAGUUCUUUGGAAUAGGACAUCAUAGAGGGUGAGAAUCCCGUAUUUGACCUUUACUUUCAACUUUGCGAUACACUUUCGAAGAGUCGGAUUGUUUGGGAAUGCAGUCCAAAAUGGGUGGUAAAUUUCAUCUAAAGCUAAAUAUUGGCGAGAGACCGAUAGCGAACAAGUACCGUGAGGGUAAGAUGAAAAGAACUUUGAAAAGAGAGUUAAACAGUACGUGAAAUUGUCAAAAGGGAAGCGUUUGACACCAGUGUUGUUUUUCUGAAAAUCAAUUAAAGAACUGUUUAUGCUAAGCUGUUUAGACUUUAUCAGCUAUCUGUUUAGUUUUGAGCUUUUCUUUAAUGCACUUUUCAGUUAACAAGUCAACAUCAAUUUCUUUUGCUGUAAAAAAGCUUGAGGAAGGUGGCUUGAGAUUCGUCUUAAGUGUUUAUAGCCUCUUGCCUAUGCAGUCGGAGAGAUUGAGGUCUGCAGCGUAGAUCCUUCGGGGCUAAAUGCAUUUGUGCUAAGUUAUAGCAUUUUAUAGACAACUUGUUGACUAUGAUUUGUCUUGUAGCUUACUCGCUUAUGUUAUUUUACCUACGCUUAGGAUGUUGACACACGCGCGUGCUCG
RNAcentral lists this ribosomal RNA (775 nucleotides) under uncultured Neocallimastigales. RNAcentral's name for it is "partial large subunit ribosomal RNA". It matches the Rfam family "Eukaryotic large subunit ribosomal RNA", at positions 18 to 643 of the family's 3401-position model. Lineage: Eukaryota; Fungi; Neocallimastigomycota; Neocallimastigomycetes; Neocallimastigales. The record is from RNAcentral.